GACGAACGCUGGCGGCGUGCUUAACACAUGCAGGUCGAACGAUGAAGAAGAGAAACGCGAACUUCGGUUCAAAUUUCACUUCGGAUUAGUGGCAGACGGGUGAGUAACGCGUGAGCAACCUACCUCUUACAAAGGGAUAGCCUCGGGAAACCGUGAUUAAUACCAUAUGACACAUUCAUAAGGCAUCUUAAGAAUGUUAAAGCUACGGCGGUAAGAGAUGGGCUCGCGUCCCAUUAGCUAGUUGGUGAGGUAACGGCCCACCAAGGCGACGAUGGGUAACCGGCCUGAGAGGGUGAACGGUCACAUUGGAACUGAGACACGGUCCAAACUCCUACGGGAGGCAGCAGUGGGGAAUAUUGCACAAUGGAGGGAACUCUGAUGCAGCGACGCCGCGUGAGCGAUGAAGGAAUUCGUUUCGUAAAGCUCUGUUCUAUGGGAAGAAAAGGACUGUACCAUAGGAGAAAGCCCCGGCUAAAUACGUG
This 482-nucleotide ribosomal RNA is filed under the name uncultured bacterium. RNAcentral describes it as "partial 16S ribosomal RNA". It matches the Rfam family "Bacterial small subunit ribosomal RNA", at positions 28 to 507 of the family's 1533-position model. The record is from RNAcentral.